RNAcentral lists this ribosomal RNA (809 nucleotides) under Salmonella enterica. RNAcentral's name for it is "bacterial SSU rRNA". It matches the Rfam family "Bacterial small subunit ribosomal RNA", at positions 731 to 1533 of the family's 1533-position model. Lineage: Bacteria; Pseudomonadati; Pseudomonadota; Gammaproteobacteria; Enterobacterales; Enterobacteriaceae. The record is from RNAcentral.
GGGCCACUACUGACGCUGAGAAGCGAAAGCAUGGGGAGCGAACAGGAUUAGAUACCCUGGUAGUCCAUGCCGUAAACGUUGGGAACUAGGUGUGGGUCUCAUUCCACGAGAUCCGUGCCGCAGCUAACGCAUUAAGUUCCCCGCCUGGGGAGUACGGCCGCAAGGCUAAAACUCAAAGGAAUUGACGGGGGCCCGCACAAGCGGCGGAGCAUGCGGAUUAAUUCGAUGCAACGCGAAGAACCUUACCAAGGCUUGACAUAUGCGAGAACGCGGCAGAGAUGUCGUUCUCUUUGGACACUCGCAUACAGGUGGUGCAUGGUUGUCGUCAGCUCGUGUCGUGAGAUGUUGGGUUAAGUCCCGCAACGAGCGCAACCCUCGUUCUAUGUUGCCAGCACGUGAUGGUGGGGACUCAUAGGAGACUGCCGGGGUCAACUCGGAGGAAGGUGGGGAUGACGUCAAAUCAUCAUGCCCCUUAUGUCUUGGGCUUCACGCAUGCUACAAUGGCCGGUACAAAGGGCUGCGAUACCGCGAGGUGGAGCGAAUCCCAAAAAACCGGUCUCAGUUCGGAUUGGGGUCUGCAACUCGACCCCAUGAAGUCGGAGUCGCUAGUAAUCGCAGAUCAGCAACGCUGCGGUGAAUACGUUCCCGGGCCUUGUACACACCGCCCGUCAAGUCACGAAAGUCGGUAACACCCGAAGCCGGUGGCCCAACUCUUUGAGAGGGAGCCGUCGAAGGUGGGACUGGCGAUUGGGACUAAGUCGUAACAAGGUAGCCGUACCGGAAGGUGCGGCUGGAUCACCUCCUUUCUA